UUUGGGUAAAUUCUUUUAAAAUCACAAAUGAAGCAAAAUGUGCUAAAUUAAUAUUUUUUUAUAUUUAAUCUUUUAAUAUUUCCAGGAAUAAUUCUUUAUUGGAUUCUCAUGGAUCGUCAGACGAAGAUGAUAAUGGAUUUCUUGUUAAAAAAACAAGACAAGUGGAUUUGCAAUUUCAUGAAGAGGAGGACGUGGUGUUACCGUUAGCUUUCAAAAAAACUGAGAAAAUCAUCGAUUCAUCAGCCACGUUAACGGAUAUAGAAAUAGUAGGAGACCCACAUGAUUCCCUAACAUCAACUGAGAUCCACACAUUCCAUCACAAAAAUGAUGUCUUUACG
Long non-coding RNA from Phlebotomus papatasi, 338 nucleotides. RefSeq lists it as uncharacterized. NCBI's taxonomy places the organism in Eukaryota, Metazoa, Arthropoda, Insecta, Diptera, Psychodidae. The transcript is spliced from 3 exons. The record is from RefSeq and is a predicted model, not a curated record.